GAAAGUCAUUCGCAAACUUGGGGAAAUUCAAGGACGCAAAACUAUAGGGCCUGUAAAAUGGCAGCCAGUUGCCAAA
Psychromonas ingrahamii 37 is the source of this 76-nucleotide regulatory RNA element. It matches the Rfam family "c-di-GMP-I riboswitch aptamer". From Rfam's summary of the family: GEMM was predicted in a large-scale screen for bacterial structured RNA regulatory elements. Genes associated with GEMM are involved in a diverse array of functions, including chemotaxis regulation, signal transduction, secretion and chitin. The record is from Rfam. Lineage: Bacteria; Pseudomonadati; Pseudomonadota; Gammaproteobacteria; Alteromonadales; Psychromonadaceae.